Molecule: long non-coding RNA, 2994 nt
Organism: Equus caballus (horse)
Lineage: Eukaryota; Metazoa; Chordata; Mammalia; Perissodactyla; Equidae
Source: Ensembl
UGAUAGUAAAACUGAGCUGGCUUUGUAUGCGUCCCUCGUUAGUAGUUAGUUAGGCCGCCAGUUUGUAUAAUUCUGUACUCGAGAUGGUGUCUUCAGGUACUGCUUUUUGUCCUUUGUUACAUUUAAAGUAGCUUUUGUUGCUGAAUCAUGAGAUAUUCUGGUUCUCUAAGCAAAUUCCAUUUUCCUUAAGGUACUCUGGAACUGUACCUUUAACAAUUCCCGGAGAGAUGUCCUGCCAGGGUAAUUGACAAACACAUCACUAAUAGGUAGAGGUUUAAAUCUUAGCGUCCUUCUUCCUUAUCCUGUAGUUCUCAUUGUUUAUACAAAAAUCGCAAUUGCUGUCUUAGAUUUAGGAUGCGUUAUAGACUGAUGGAACAAUUCUCUAGUUCUUUAUAUCUAGAAUGGGACUCAUUAUACUUAUCUGCCACAUUCUUUCUCAUGUUUCACAUGCUUUACUAACAUUAACUAAUUAAUAUUUAAAUCAGAUUCUUUUCCUGUAGGCUUUCGAAGCUGUGAAUCACGGGCUUUUUUUUUUUUCCCCAUACAACACUGUAUUUGUGCAGAAAUUAUUUGCUGUGACACUUAAGGUUGAUGCACUUUGAAAGAUAUAUGUAAGAGAUGCUAAAUUAUCUAAUUGAAACAAUAUUUGGGAAUCAGUUUUACAGUAAUCAUUGAAUCACUCGUUAACAGUAUUUACUGAGCACCUGCUGUGUGCAGGCUCUGUAAUAUUGGGGAGACAGGAUGUUGGGGAGACAGGGUAAAUAUUUUUCCUGCUUUUAUGGUUCUUAAGGUGCAGUGGGUAUUUCGACGAGAAAACAGGGCACAGCGGUGCAGCACGGUGCUGUGGCGAGGGCCCUGGAGCCCAGAGCUGGGGUGUUUGAAAGACCUUCUGGGGGCAGCAGGGCAGGCGCUCCCUGCAGAGCGCCACUUGCCCCCCCCCACCCCCACACCAAACACCGAUGGAAGAGCAUGUUCUGUUACAGGAACGGCGUGAAGUUCAGCGAGACUGGAGGAGGGAGAGUGGUAGCCGGUGGGCUGAGGUGCAGGACACGAGCCGGGAGAGACCCUCCAGGCCUCAGUGCCCGUGCUGAGGAUGUGCGGAGCCCAAAACUGGGGACGACUCGUCCGUGGCGUGUCUUUAGAGAGAGUGUCAGGUCAGAGGAGGUUGAAAGGGCUUUCCGGGGUGCCAGCCAGAUGGCUGAGUGCCGCUUGGAGGCACAAGGGGAGUCCCAGUGAGACACAGAGGUGGCCCUAGCUUGGGUGCGGCCGGGGAAGAGCAGAUGGGCAUGGAGAGCUUUGGGAGGCAGCAGGACUUGGGGAUGGGAUGCAGGAUGCAAAAGGAGGGGCGGGUUCACGUGGGCUUCAGGUUCUGGCUUAAGGCCCCAGCGCUGGGGAGGAGCAGGAGAGCAGGACAGAACCUGCUUCAGGUCAGGUUCCAGCCAAGCUGGAGGUGCCUCUUGGGAUCUAGCCAGGGAUGUCCAACAGGUGGCCGAGUAGGUAGGUUCCAAGUGGAGAAGAACGAGGCUGGCCAGGAAGAUGUAUAUAACAGCUGCCAACAUUUAAAUUCAGUCAAGAUCAGCUAAUUCUGCUCUGAGAGACCUGAAUAAGGUAAGUAUUAAGACAUUGGCCUUUUGAGUAGACGGCUCUGACUUUGACUCUCACCUGAGAUUCCUCAUCUGUAAAAUGAUGACAGCAGUAUUGCUCACUUGUAUCCUUGCAAAGGUUAACACGGAAGGGGACCGCGGGCCUGGCGCAGAGCACGCCUUCAGCGAGCUACCUGUUACUGUCAGGUAUUCUAAAAUGAACAGUUGUGCUUAAUACCUGGAGGAGACCAGGCACGACGUGAGCAUUUGUGUGGCGCACACGCAGGUGAACCUGUAGGCACGCAGACUCACGCCUGUGUAGAUACGCCCCUCAUAGACAAACCUGUCAGCAGGUUGUGCUGGGGACCCAAACCAGUGGCUGUUUCCUUCACCUGGCGUCUGCGGCUUUGUCAGAACCUGGCCCUGUGCUUGGACGUGCUCCGAUCUGUCUUGUUCUCUUGUACAGACUAGUUGCCGUUCCCUCCUCUCUCUCAGGCUGUGGACAGACUUCCUUUUUUGCAACCAUAUACAGCACCCUCCCUUACUUGGCCAUAUUAAUAUUUGAGUUUUCUGUGUUGGAUAAUUCUAACAAAUCAUAAUGUGCUGUGGAUCUCAGGGAAACAGUUCAGCAGGCAUGAGGUCCAGGGACAUAUGCUGAAAUUGAUUAAAUUCAGUCAUGUCAGCAUGGGCAUGAACUUUGAGGAGAAAUAAGAUACUUUACUUUUGGUGCGUUGUGGAUAGUGGUCUCUUUUCUGUGCGUACGCUGGUUAAGCCUCUUCUGCGUUCCGGGCACACACUUUCCGCAGGAGAUCCCAGGGGCGGUCCUUCUUUAUGAACACACUCAUCUGGCAGGCAGAGUGGAAGGCCUCCUGAGUCCUUGGAAGUUAAAGAUCUGGAUUGAAUAAUAGGGUUUCUAAUAGGUAGUUGGUGUCACAGUCUCUAUUCUCUGGCAUCUCAUUCUUUUGUGUUUGUUAUAAGGGUUUGGGCACUGGACGUGAGGGGCCAUCUUCGAGAGUGGAGCCUCCAUAGCUGUGGGUUAAUCACUCCAGUCCUUGUUUGUGCUUAUUGUAUCAUGAAGAUACUUCUGAUCAUAAGCAUAGCUAACAUCCCAAGAAAAAUUCUAAAUGAGAGGAGGAGUUCAUGCGUAUUGUCAUUUUUAAGAUGCUUUGUCAUAUAUUUAGCAUGACUGAGUACCUGUUUAAUUUCUAGUAAUCAUCAAUAUUCAUUAUUAGAAAAAACAGUUUUUUAAAAAUAAUAUGCUGAAAUAUGGGUAUCAUUGUCCUAUGGAUGUUAGAGAAAAAAAACUAGGAGGUAUUUUUUAGCAUUAUGGAGAAAUUCUUUUUUCCAUUAUAUUGUUGUUAAACAUUAGAAAUUAAUGUUUAAAACCAAGGAAAAUUAACCCUCUCUCCGC